UCAUCAAAUAUAUAACAUAGAUCAUAACGCGUGAAUAAGAGAAUUGACUUUAUUCAGGGCAAUCCAUUUAAACGCGUUAUCAUAUUUUCAAUUUAUUUAUAAUUAAGGAAAGUGUACAGUAGCGAUAUUAAAAAAAAAAAGAGAGAGAGAGAGAGAGAGAGAAAAGAAAAAAGUAUGUCUAAUCAGAUUGUUCGUCGUUUAGUUCCAUGAAAAAUAAUAUUUUCUGAGUGAGCAACUAACCUGCGUAGUUAUUAAAUUACGAAUAUUAUAAAUUGAAAAUGUUUAUCUACGGAUAAAAUCCUCGUUUAUCGUAGGAUAAAAUUAAUCAAGCGAUAUUAAUUAAUUAAUUAAUUAUGACGUAUGCAUUAUAUAUUUGUAAAUGCAUUAACCAUCGAUCUCGAAUAUUUAUUGAUUAAUUUUAUAUACUUGUCAUUCGAAUUUGUUAUGUUUUAAAGUUGAAAAAUCUACGCUGUGGAUAAAAAUGUGCGCGAUGUAAAAAAAAAAAAAAAAAAGAAGAAGAAGAAAAAGGAGAAAAAAAAGAAACGUGUAUAUCAUCCUUGUUUCUAAGUGCUGCAUGCAUCGUUACCGUAUUUUUAAACGGGAAGUAACAGGAAGAAUUUUCAUUUAUUCGCACGAGCAACGUGGAUGGGAAAUAGUAGUAGUAGUAGUAGUAGUAGUAGUAGUAGUAGUAGUAGUAGUAGUAGUAGUAGUAGUAGUAGUAGUAGUAGUAGUAGUAGUAGUAGUUAGCAACAACUACAGUAGCAGUAGCAGUAGCAAUAGCAGCAGCACCAGUUAGCAGUAGCAGCAACAGCGGUAUUAAGAUUCCCUUAUCCUUUACUCGUUCCUCAAGACGCCUGCGAAAAUCUAUUUCCAGCGAUCCAGACGCUCGUAAAACUUUAGUUCGAGACUUUUCUCUUAUUCUCUCUUUAAAAUCGUAUCAACGUUUGAAAUCUGAAAAAGUGGAGAGUAUCGAAAUUGAAAGAGAGAGAGAGAGAGAGGAUAGCUCUCUCUGGGGUAAUAACAAAAUCCAAUCAGCCGGUCUCGAGGUAAUACAAAAUGAAAAAUAAAAAGAGCGAGAGAGAGAGAGAGAGAGAGAGAGAGAGAGAGCGAAGGUCAAAAGUCAGGGAGCGGGGAUAGGUCGGAUCUCGUGUCGCUUGCUCGAGGGUGAAUGCACAUACUACCACUACCACUUCUAUCUUCUUCGUGGCUUGGGACGAAGAAACGUUCGCGCACUUGGCAAAGGACGAAAGGGCUUGAAAAAGAUAGAGAAGAAUAAGAAAGAGAAAGAGAGGAAGAAGGGAGAGAGGGAGGAGGAGUGAGAAAGAGAGAAAAACAGAGAACGAGUCCAUGAGCAAGGAAGCAUAACGAGGAAAGGGGUGAGGGACUGUGAUCGAAGGAGGCGCCGGUAGGAUUGGAUGGCUUGCGUCUAAAGUAAAAAGAAAAAGACGAAGGAGAAGAAGUGUACAUUGCUUCGAUGCAAUACAUAUAUGUAUAUAUACUUAUAUUUCUAUUUAUUUAUUUGUAUGUAUUAUAUAUGAUAUAAAUGUAUGUACGAAAUAUCUAUAACGUGUAUUAUACAUUGUUAUACACGUAUCCUUAUCAUGUAUAUAUAUAUAUAUAUAUUUUGAUGAAUACAAUCACAUAUAUAUUAACAUGUGAUUUGUAUAUUAGUAAUUUGUAAUAUGUGUGUGUGUGUGUAUGUAUAUAUGUAUAUAUAUAUAUACACACAUGCACGUUUAAUAAGUAUACAUAGAUUUGUAUUGUACUAUAUAUAUAUUCUACAUACAGAUAAGUAUAAAUGUGAGUGUGUUGGGAACGAUACGGUGGGACAGUGGGAGGUAUGGUGGGGAGAUGGGGAGAUGGGGUUAGAUCCGUAGCUCUGGCUCGGGUCGUGCCUCGCGUUAGUUGACUUUCGCUCCUCGAAACGCGUCGGCGCGUCGCGUUUCCUUCUUCUCGACGACGCCAGUAGCGCAACCUUUCCUCCCUCGCCUGGUCAUCAUUGUCGUUAUCGUUGUCGUCGUCCUCGUCGUCGUUGUCAUCGUCGUCGUCGUCAUCGUCGUCAUUGUUGUUAUCGUUGUCGUUGUCAUAAACAUUGUCGUUGUUAUUGUUAUUGUUGUUGUUGUUGUUGUUAAACGAUUCCUAUGAAUUUAAUUACUCGCAUCGUUCUUCUCCUUUCUUAGAUGUUUUAGUUUUCUUUUAUCUUUUUUUUUUUUUCUUUUUUACUCUUUUCUUUACGGUGACGACAAAUCCAUUGCACUGUUGUUCCCCUUUGGCAAAGGUCAAAGGUCGUGCGUACACCGUGUGGCCUCCUUGCAAGGCUUGCGUUCCCUUUUUGUAUAUAUCCGUCUCUUUCUCUCUCUCUCUCUCUCUCUCUCACACACACACACACACAUACACACGCACACAUACGCAUACACAUACAUAAUCGCGUUUCUCUGCUGAGUCCUACGCGCUUUUAUACAUGUUAGCGAGCGAGCGCGGUUAAGGCAAAGGAGGAAGGAAGUGCGAGUGAGUUCACAAGAGAGUGAGAAAGAAAGAGUGAAGGAGAGAGAAAAAGAAAGAGAGAGAGAGAGAGAGAGAGAGAGAGAGAGAGAGAAAGAGAGAUAAAAAAGUUACUCCCUCACGCAAUUUCCUUCGAGUAUAAACGUCGACUCGAUUUCCUUGAGCGUCAUCAUCCUGAUUUUCAAUGGAAGAGAUCGAAAUAUCGAUAAGAAGGUA
Molecule: long non-coding RNA, 2718 nt
Organism: Vespa crabro (European hornet)
Lineage: Eukaryota; Metazoa; Arthropoda; Insecta; Hymenoptera; Vespidae
Exons: 2
Source: RefSeq, a predicted model, not a curated record